RNAcentral lists this unclassified non-coding RNA (279 nucleotides) under plant metagenome. RNAcentral's name for it is "partial contains small subunit ribosomal RNA and internal transcribed spacer 1". The stretch from base 1 to 46 matches the Rfam family "Eukaryotic small subunit ribosomal RNA", at positions 1786 to 1831 of the family's 1831-position model. The record is from RNAcentral.
AAGUCGUAACAAGGUUUCCGUAGGUGAACCUGCGGAAGGAUCAUUAUUGAAUAAACCUGAUGUGGUUGUAGCUGGCCCUUUCGAGGGUAUGUGCACACCCGUCAUCUUUAUCUUUCCACUUGUGCACCUUUUGUAGACCUGGAUGUAACACUUUCCGAGGCAACUCGGUCGAGAGGAAUGCUGUCAGCUUUCCUUGAAUGUCCAGGCCUAUGUUUUCACAUACCCCAAAGAAUGUAACAGAAUGUAUUAUUGGGCCUUGUGCCUAUAAACUAUAUACAA